AGAGUUUGAUCAUGGCUCAGAUUGAACGCUGGCGGAAUGCUUUACACAUGCAAGUCGAACGGCAGCACGGGUGCUUGCACCUGGUGGCGAGUGGCGAACGGGUGAGUAAUGCACCGGAACGUACCCAGUAAUGGGGGAUAACACAUCGAAAGAUGUGCUAAUACCGCAUACGCCCUGAGGGGGAAAGCGGGGGAUCGUAAGACCUCGCGUUAUUGGAGCGGCCGAUGCCGGAUUAGCUAGUUGGUGAGGUAAGAGCUCACCAAGGCGACGAUCCGUAGCUGGUCUGAGAGGACGACCAGCCACACUGGGACUGAGACACGGCCCAGACUCCUACGGGAGGCAGCAGUGGGGAAUUUUGGACAAUGGGGGAAACCCUGAUCCAGCCAUUCCGCGUGAGUGAAGAAGGCCUUCGGGUUGUAAAGCUCUUUCGCAAGGAAAGAAAACUUAUCUACUAAUACUAGGUGAGGUUGACGGUACCUUGAUAAGAAGCACCGGCUAACUACGUGCCAGCAGCCGCGGUAAUACGUAGGGUGCGAGCGUUAAUCGGAAUUACUGGGCGUAAAGCGUGCGCAGGCGGUUCGACAAGUCUGAUGUGAAAUCCCCGGGCUCAACCUGGGAACUGCGUUGGAAACUGUCGGGCUAGAGUGUAGAAGAGGGGGGUAGAAUUCCACGUGUAGCAGUGAAAUGCGUAGAGAUGUGG
RNAcentral lists this ribosomal RNA (700 nucleotides) under uncultured bacterium. RNAcentral's name for it is "bacterial SSU rRNA". It matches the Rfam family "Bacterial small subunit ribosomal RNA", at positions 8 to 701 of the family's 1533-position model. The record is from RNAcentral.